Molecule: ribosomal RNA, 253 nt
Filed under: uncultured bacterium
Lineage: Bacteria
Description: partial 16S ribosomal RNA
Rfam family: Bacterial small subunit ribosomal RNA
Source: RNAcentral
UACGUAGGGUGCAAGCGUUAAUCGGAAUUACUGGGCGUAAAGGGCGCGUAGGCGGCUCAUGAAGGCUGUGGUGAAAGUCCGGGGCUCAACCUCGGAUCGGCCGUGGCGACUCGUGGGCUGGAGCACUGUAGAGGCGGGUGGAAUUCCGGGUGUAGCGGUGGAAUGCGUAGAGAUCCGGAAGAACACCGGUGGCGAAGGCGGCCUGCUGGGCUAUGGCUGACACUGAGGCGCGACAGCGUGGGGAGCAAACAGG